Molecule: ribosomal RNA, 406 nt
Filed under: uncultured bacterium
Lineage: Bacteria
Description: partial 16S ribosomal RNA
Rfam family: Bacterial small subunit ribosomal RNA
Source: RNAcentral
AUUGAACGCUGGCGGCAGGCCUAACACAUGCAAGUCGAGCGAGCGGCGGACGGGUGAGUAAUGCCUGGGAACCUGCCUGAUGGAGGGGGAUAACUACUGGAGCCGGUAGCUACUACCGCAUACCAUCAGAUGUGCCCAGAUGGGAUUAGCUAGUAGGUGGGUUAACGGCUCACCUAGGCGACGAUCCCUCGCUGGUCUGAGAGGAUGACCAGCCACACUGGAACUGAGACACGGUCCAGACGCCUACGGGAGGCAGCAGUGGGGAAUAUUGCACAAGGGGCGCAAGCCUGAUACAGCCAUGCCGCGUGUGUGAAGAAGGCCUUCGAGUUGUAAAGCACUUUCAGCGGGGAGGCGUUACCCGCAGAAGAAGCACCGGCUAACUCCGUGCCAGCAGCCGCGGUAAUAC